Myotis davidii is the source of this 417-nucleotide long non-coding RNA. RefSeq lists it as uncharacterized. Lineage: Eukaryota; Metazoa; Chordata; Mammalia; Chiroptera; Vespertilionidae. The transcript is spliced from 3 exons. The record is from RefSeq and is a predicted model, not a curated record.
ACAAUGUCUUUGGCUGCUGGCAACAGUAGAUCCUCAGAAAUGAUGUGAGGUUUCAUAGUUCUGGCGAUUCUGAGUGCCACCAAAUAUGAAGCUUCAAUGGCUGCUACGUUUUGUUUGUGGUACUUACCACCAGUGUCAAGUCUGGUUUUCUUGAGUCCAUCAGCUUUGCUUCUAAAAUAGUUUGUAUCCUUGUUGGAAAAGCUUUGAUGCUUGCUAUCAAAAUGGCGUUUUAGUUUGUUCGGCUUCAUAGAUUCAGCUGAUAGAACUUCACAACAAAUAACACAUUGUGGUUUCUCAAUUCCUGCUAUAAUUAUUGAGGUAAAACCAUACUGUAAAAAAUCCUCACUAUAUUUUCUUUUCUUAACGUUCUUCUCUACACGAUCCAUUGUCAUGGGAUGGUUUGCAAGAAGGAUCAGG